Molecule: long non-coding RNA, 463 nt
Filed under: Numida meleagris (helmeted guineafowl)
Lineage: Eukaryota; Metazoa; Chordata; Aves; Galliformes; Numididae
Description: lncRNA (ENSNMEG00000005909.1)
Source: RNAcentral
CCUCACUCUGGUUGCCUUUCCUGUUUCAGCAGACCCCAUCACUCACAGCAUAUACCAUCAGCCUGUUUCUCAAAGGCAUUGUAUUCAUAUGUGCAAAAACAAAUUGUGAUGCGUAGUGUUGAAGUCAUGUGUUGUAUCCUACUCCCUGGAGUUUCUCAACACAUUCAGAUUUCCUGGUGAAAACCAGUUUCAUGCCCAACAAGAAAAGCCUGAGCCUGCUCUGUUACACUGCCAGAACCACUCUGAAGCCGUGGUAUCAUGCCUCUUCACAGGGCAGCAGAAUUUUCAAGAACCUCCCACAGAUCCUUGAGAUAAAUAGAGUCAUCUCUACACACUCGGAUUUCCUGCUACUGGCCUUCAAGAAAAACAGUGCGAUACAAACCCACUGAUCUGCUGCCACUUUCAAAAUCUCAGCUAAGAACUCCAAGACCAAGGAGUCAGAAGCAGUGAAAGCAAGGCAAUA